GUCACCUAGAUUAGGAAAAUGACAAAAGUACUCUUUUUUCUUAGGCUAUUUUACAAGGCUUCUGCAAAGAAAUGUAUUUUGUACAAUAGUAAUGAGGAACAGGUUUCAUAAAAAACCCAGGUAUUUGGGAGUAUUUGCAGGUUAAUGAAGGUCAAAAGUUGAAACAAGUUACUGUUUCUCCAAGUGAACAUGUUGCUUUCAGGGAAGAAAGAGGGCUGGAGUCAGGUCUUUCACUUCAGAGAAUAGGGUGAUGACUGACAGGCAGUGGGCAGAGAAAGCCAAUCCUUUCACAAAGGCAUCACGAUCACAACUGCUUCGUGGGACAGGCGCCAAGACCAACCGCCACCAGGAACCUGCCCCAGUUCCAGGGAAGGCUUAUUAAAAACUCCAGCGCCUUAUCACUGUUCAGACAAGACACCCGCGUGCUGAGCUGCAAUGAGGGCCACCUUGUGGUCAGAGGCAGUUUGUGGGCUGAUAGUCUACAGGUGAGGUGCUUUUUAAAUGGGUCUUGAGAAAUGCGAAGCAAGCAAGACAGGUGAAGAUGCGGGCGGG
Hipposideros armiger (great roundleaf bat) is the source of this 552-nucleotide long non-coding RNA. RefSeq lists it as uncharacterized. The transcript is spliced from 4 exons. The record is from RefSeq and is a predicted model, not a curated record. NCBI's taxonomy places the organism in Eukaryota, Metazoa, Chordata, Mammalia, Chiroptera, Hipposideridae.